CCCGCCCGCGGCGCAGCGCCCCGCGGAGUGGGAUAAAUCGGCUUCAAAAUCCCCUCUGAAGCUGUCGAACCACCCAGUACCUGGCACAUUGCAUUAAAGUUAAUGGCUCUGGUUUUUAGAGCUGUUCUGCCUUCCUUAAUAACGUUAAGGAGCGGGGUGCUGUAGAGUGAUGUUUGUUUCCAUUUUAUUUCCUCAGAAAGCAAACAACGUACUCAAAACCGAUUGGAAAAACGUAACCAUGAAUGAGAAUUUAUACACACACACAUACACAAAGGAGAAUUUGCCGGGCUGCAUCACAGGAUGACUGUCAGCAGGGAAGACACCCACAGCGUGCAGAAAGCUUGGGCAAGGGAGGAGAGAUUGAGAGGACUGGCAAAUCUGGCAGCGCUCACAAACUGCAAAUGCAUUUCCCUCAUCUCCAAUACUUUAAAGCUGAGGUCUGCACUCAAGUUGUUCUGUUCAAGAUGUGAUGUUACAACUUCCAGCAAAGCAACUUCAUUUCUCAAAGAGAUGAGAACACAGAGGAAGGACCAUCACAGUGGCAAGGGUCUUUUCAUCCUGGUCUAA
This 567-nucleotide long non-coding RNA is filed under the name Cyanistes caeruleus (blue tit). RNAcentral's name for it is "lncRNA (ENSCCEG00000019489.1)". The record is from RNAcentral. Lineage: Eukaryota; Metazoa; Chordata; Aves; Passeriformes; Paridae.